CCUGAAUCGUGAUCAAUACUUGAUCUUUCUCCUUGAUCUUCUUCUUCUCCUCUUUUAUAGAGUUUCUCCUUGCUAUAUGCUGCUACUAGAUACUAGAAACCAGCAAGGAAGAGGUAUUCAAACUCUUUUGUGCGUAGAACUCUUUGGAACGUGCAUCCCAAGAAAGGGGUGUAUAGAACACCCAAGAGAAGAGAAAGGGAGAGGAAGAG
RNAcentral lists this long non-coding RNA (209 nucleotides) under Elaeis guineensis (African oil palm). RNAcentral describes it as "long non-coding RNA (EGUI_LNC036522)". Lineage: Eukaryota; Viridiplantae; Streptophyta; Magnoliopsida; Arecales; Arecaceae. The record is from RNAcentral.